UGGCUCAGGACGAACGCUGGCGGCGUGCCUAACACAUGCAAGUCGAGCGGGGACAUACGACGGAGUCAAAGUUUCGGAUGGAGACGAAGAUGUAUGUUCUAGCGGCGGACGGGUGAGUAACGCGUGAGCAACCUGUCCCUUACAGGGGGAUAACACAGCGAAAGUUGUACUAAUACCGCAUGAGACCACGGGAGGACAUCCUCCAGGGGUCAAAGGAGCAAUCCGGUAAGGGGUGGGCUCGCGUCCGAUUAGAUAGUUGGUGAGGUAACGGCCCACCAAGUCGACGAUCGGUAGCCGACCUGAGAGGGUGAUCGGCCACAUUGGGACUGAGACACGGCCCAAACUCCUACGGGAGGCAGCAGUGGGGAAUAUUGGGCAAAUGGGGGAAACCCUGACCCAGCAACGCCGCGUGAGGGAAGAAGGUUUUCGGAUCGUAAACCUCUGUCCUUGGUGAAGAGUAAGAGACGGUAGCCAAGGAGGAAGCCCCGGCUAACUACGUGCCAGCCGCGGC
Molecule: ribosomal RNA, 511 nt
Filed under: uncultured bacterium
Lineage: Bacteria
Description: bacterial SSU rRNA
Rfam family: Bacterial small subunit ribosomal RNA
Source: RNAcentral